This 497-nucleotide ribosomal RNA is filed under the name uncultured bacterium. RNAcentral describes it as "partial 16S ribosomal RNA". It matches the Rfam family "Bacterial small subunit ribosomal RNA", at positions 28 to 507 of the family's 1533-position model. The record is from RNAcentral.
GAUGAACGCUGGCGGCGUGCCUAAUACAUGCAAGUCGAGCGAACGGACGAGAAGCUUGCUUCUCUGAUGUUAGCGGCGGACGGGUGAGUAACACGUGGAUAACCUACCUAUAAGACUGGGAUAACUUCGGGAAACCGUAGCCAAUACCGGAUAAUAUUUUGAACCGCAUGGUUCAAAAGUGAAAGACGGUCUUGCUGUCACGUAUAGAUGGAUCCGGGCUUCAUUAGCUAGUUGGUAAGGUACAGGCUUACAAAGGCAACGAUGCAUAGCCGACGUGAGAGGGUGAUCGGCCACACGGGAGCUGGACCGCGGUCCAUGCUCCUACGGGAGGCAGCAGUCGGGAAUCUUCCGCAGAGGGCGGAAGCCUGGCGGAACGGCGCCGCGUGAGUGAUGAAGGUCUUCGGAUCGUAAAACUCUGUUAUGAGUGGAGAACAUAUGUGUAAGUAACUGUGCACAUAUUGACGGUACCUGAUCAGAAAGCCACGGCUAACUACGUG